UCCUAGUUAACCUAGGCAGUCUCGCUAGAGUGCCCACCAUUACGUGCUGGCAACUAACGACAAGGGUUGCGCUCGUUGCGGGACUUAACCCAACACCUCACGGCACGAGCUGACGACAGCCAUGCAGCACCUGUGCAAUUGUCUCUUGCGAGAAAACUGUAUUUCUACAGUGAUCAACUGCAUGUCAAAUCCAGGUAAGGUUCUUCGCGUUGCAUCGAAUUAAACCACAUGCUCCACUGCUUGUGCGGGUCCCCGUCAAUUCUUUUGAGUUUUACCCUUGCGAGCGUACUCCCCAGGCGGUAUACUUAUCGCGUUGGCUACGGUACAGUCAGGGUUGAGCCUAACUACACCAAGUAUACAUCGUUUAUGGCAAGGACUAC
RNAcentral lists this unclassified non-coding RNA (380 nucleotides) under uncultured Chlamydiales bacterium. RNAcentral describes it as "contains 16S-23S intergenic spacer region". The record is from RNAcentral. Lineage: Bacteria; Pseudomonadati; Chlamydiota; Chlamydiia; Chlamydiales.